RNAcentral lists this transfer RNA (60 nucleotides) under Ophiophagus hannah (king cobra). It matches the Rfam family "tRNA", at positions 7 to 64 of the family's 71-position model. From Rfam's summary of the family: Transfer RNA (tRNA) molecules are approximately 80 nucleotides in length. Their secondary structure includes four short double-helical elements and three loops (D, anti-codon, and T loops). Lineage: Eukaryota; Metazoa; Chordata; Lepidosauria; Squamata; Elapidae. RNAcentral also lists the same sequence under 1 other name. The record is from Rfam by way of RNAcentral.
UUGGCCUAGUGGUUAAGGCACUAGGCUAAAAAUCAGGUGACUGUGAGUUCUAGUCCCACA